UAGGGAAUCUUCCGCAAUGGACGCAAGUCUGACGGAGCAACGCCGCGUGAGUGAAGAAGGAUUUCGGUUCGUAAAACUCUGUUGUUAGAGAAGAACAGCGCAUAGAGUAACUGUUAUGCGUGUGACGGUAUCUAACCAGAAAGCCACGGCUAACUACGUGCCAGCAGCCGCGGUAAUACGUAGGUGGCAAGCGUUGUCCGGAUUUAUUGGGCGUAAAGCGAGCGCAGGCGGUCAAUUAAGUCUGAUGUGAAAGCCCCCGGCUCAACCGGGGAGGGUCAUUGGAAACUGGUUGACUUGAGUGCAGAAGAGGAGAGUGGAAUUCCAUGUGUAGCGGUGAAAUGCGUAGAAAUAUGGAGGAACACCAGUGGCGAAGGCGACUCUCUGGUCUGUAACUGACGCUGAGGCUCGAAAGCGUGGGUAGCAAACAGG
Molecule: ribosomal RNA, 429 nt
Filed under: Bacteroidota bacterium
Lineage: Bacteria; Pseudomonadati; Bacteroidota
Description: Bacteroidetes bacterium partial 16S ribosomal RNA
Rfam family: Bacterial small subunit ribosomal RNA
Source: RNAcentral